Molecule: ribosomal RNA, 303 nt
Filed under: Stephanopyxis turris
Lineage: Eukaryota; Bacillariophyta; Melosirophyceae; Stephanopyxales; Stephanopyxidaceae
Description: partial Bacterial large subunit ribosomal RNA
Rfam family: Bacterial large subunit ribosomal RNA
Source: RNAcentral
GAGACAGUUCGGUCCCUAUCUGCCAUGGGCGAAGGAUACUUGAGAGGAUCUGUUCAUAGUACGAGAGGACCUGAAUGGACGCACCUCUAGUGUUCCAGUUGUCCCGCCAGGGGCAUAGCUGGGUAGCUAUGUGCGGAACGGAUAACCGCUGAAAGCAUCUAAGCGGGAAGCCGGCCUCAAGAUUAGGUAUCCCGGGCCGCAAGGCCCCUGAAGGCCCCUCGUAGACUACGAGGAGAUAGGCAGGGUGUGGAAGCGUAGAGAUACGUGAAGCUGACCUGUACUAAUCGGCCGUGAGGCUUGACC